AGAGUUUGAUCCUGGCUCAGGAUGAACGCUAGCGGCAGGCCUAAUACAUGCAAGUCGAGGGGCAGCGCAGGUAGCAAUACCGGGCGGCGACCGGCAAACGGGUGCGGAACACGUACGCAACCUUCCUUCAAGCGGGGAAUAGCCCAGAGAAAUUUGGAUUAAUACCCCAUAAGAAUGUAGCCCGGCAUCGGGUAGCAUUU
Molecule: ribosomal RNA, 200 nt
Filed under: uncultured bacterium
Lineage: Bacteria
Description: partial 16S ribosomal RNA
Rfam family: Bacterial small subunit ribosomal RNA
Source: RNAcentral